GACGUAGGGUGCGAGCGUUGUCCGGAAUUAUUGGGCGUAAAGAGCUCGUAGGCGGCUUGUUGCGUCGGCUGUGAAAGCCCGGGGCUUAACCCCGGGUCGGCAGUGGAUACGGGCAGGCUAGAGGUAGGUAGGGGAGAAUGGAAUUCCCGGUGUAGCGGUGAAAUGCGCAGAUAUCGGGAGGAACACCGGUGGCGAAGGCGGUUCUCUGGGCCUUACCUGACGCUGAGGAGCGAUAGCGUGGGGAGCGAACAGG
RNAcentral lists this ribosomal RNA (253 nucleotides) under uncultured bacterium. RNAcentral's name for it is "partial 16S ribosomal RNA". It matches the Rfam family "Bacterial small subunit ribosomal RNA", at positions 524 to 776 of the family's 1533-position model. The record is from RNAcentral.